This 457-nucleotide small RNA is filed under the name Pongo abelii (Sumatran orangutan). Its description in RNAcentral is "processed transcript". Lineage: Eukaryota; Metazoa; Chordata; Mammalia; Primates; Hominidae. The record is from RNAcentral.
AGUGCUCUUUCAGCCAGACACUUAGAGAAGAAUAAAAGCAAAUAUGGAAAAUCUUACAGCUUAAGGGUUGCUCCAAGCCCCAGGUGCUGGGCUGGAGGCUCCAGGAGCAUUUGGUCAGAGAGGUAGGCCUGGGGAAUCAGGCUGUGGAGAGGCUUGCAGAGACCAGCUGCCAUGGAGGGUGACACUGUUUGCCUAUUCGGACCUGCUGCUCUUCACCAAGGAGGAUGAGCCUGGCCGCUGCGACGUCCUGAGGAACCCUCUCUACCUCCAGAGUGUGAAGCUGCAGGAAGGUUCUUCAGAAGACCUGAAAUUCUGCGUGCUCUAUCUAGCAGAGAAGGCAGAGUGCUUAUUCACUUUGGAAGCGCACUCGCAGGAGCAGAAGAAGAGAGUGUGCUGGUGCCUGUCAGAGAACAUCGCCAAGCAGCAACAGCUGGCCGCGUCGCCCCCGGACAGCAAG